Oreochromis aureus is the source of this 2075-nucleotide long non-coding RNA. RefSeq lists it as uncharacterized. The transcript has 2 exons. The record is from RefSeq and is a predicted model, not a curated record. NCBI's taxonomy places the organism in Eukaryota, Metazoa, Chordata, Actinopteri, Cichliformes, Cichlidae.
AAUUAUCAUAAUCUAGUUUAGAGUUUGUUUGUCAAACAGAGGGACAUUUUGUCUUAAUAUGAUUUUUACACGCCUCAAACAGCCAAGAAAUCAUCUAAAACUCCUGAUCUACCAUUUCAAGUGUUUUCAAGAAUGAUCAUCAAGCAUAACUGACGCUGAAAAUCUGUCACACAGUGUUAUGCCACUCUCUGAAUUUGCCACACCUGCUGUUAUUAAACUGAUGCCAUUGCCACCCACUCUUUGAAACGUAAUAAUAGCACUCUUCAAAUCAAACAUACGGCAUGCUGUUUAUCAAGUAUAAUCAUGUGUCUCACACACACCUGACUUACGUGGGAGUUGUUUUUGUUCUAUUAUGGACUUUCUGUGAAGUGGAAAUAACGCAGGUUGUUUCUGAUGUACUUAGUUAAUUAAGGCUUUGGGCAUUACAGUAAUUCUUCAGCUAUUUUCCUGGUAUGUAACCUACACCCCACGACCUAGUUAUCUUCAAAAUAUAUACUUCUUCUUUGCUUUUUCUUUACUGCUUUACUCUUUUCUGUUUCCAUGUCUUAGAUGAAACACCUGAACCACUGUCUGACAAAUAUUAACUAUAAAAGGAAGCCUUUGGCUGCUGAGGAUGAAACUGCAAGGGCAAACAACCUGAACUGUUAUUAUGUCCAAUUGGAAAUAGACACUUUCAAGGAAUACCUUGAUAUCUCGGACAAUGUAAAGUACAAUAAAAAUAACACGACAAAUUUAUGCACUGUUAUAUUUUUUUCUUUAACAACACAGUUAGGAACACAUUCACAGCUAAGGGGUAUAAUACAGAUAUAAGAAUAAGUGCACUGCAUAUAAUGAGCUUAAAAAAUCUUGUAUUUUUAACUUUUAUUUUUAACCUCCUUCCCUUAGUAAUCAAAUAAAGGGUCAGACAAAAUAAAUCCAAUAGCAAUAUUACUAAUAAUAAUCCUUUUCCUCCUAAAUGCUGUGAUUUAGUUAUACACAUAUAGAACCAUAUACAACAGGUAACAUGAGUAUUAAAUAUGUUGCCAGUUUGCUAAAUACAUUUAUUUAUUUAUUCAUUUGUCUAAAGGUGUUAUUGACAGGUAAUACUGAAAUUCUGAUCAGAUCUCAGUAACAACUCAUCAAAUCCACACAUGCAGAGAGAUCAAACCAUAGAUCUCCAUAAAUAAAGCUUUGCGUAUUAAUGAGAAAUGAUCCAGGGAAAAAGUAUUGAACCGCUUCUUGAAAUUUAUUAAAUACAUCAUGCAAAAAUUCUUUGUUGCUUUGUUACGACCCCUCUGCUAGGGGCCAGGGCGAGAGUAACAUAAACGAGCCCUUACACAGGAAUCUAACAGAAACAGGGAUUUUAUUACCAAUUUUACAACAGAAAACUGUCAGGGCUGCACAAAGCAAGCCACUGGGCAAUGUUACAUACACACACAAAGGAAAUAAGACACAGGGGCACUGUAGACAACUAAACAAGGCUUGAGGAAGGGAGGAAAAAUAACUUAAUACAAUAAACCCUACUCAGCUAAUGUCACGGACCCGGUUCCGGGGACUCGGGGUCCGUGAACAGUGUGGACCAUUAUUAUUAUUAUUAUUAUUAUUAUUAGCAUUAUCAUUAUUUGGAUUGUCUUUAUUAUUAUUAUUAUUAUUAUUAUUAUUAUUAUUAUUAUUUUGGUGUGUUGUCUGCACUGCCUCUGAUCUCUGCCCUCAUCUGUAUGUAGGCAGGUUUGUGUGUGUUUGUGUGUUGCUGUUUCUGUGGCCAAGUUACAGGCAUCUUCAGGCCUGAGGGGCGUGGCCUAGCUCGAGGACUGGCCACACCCGAAGCCCUUGCCACACACCUGCUCCUCAUCAGGGCUCGUCGGUGGAACUAUUUAGAGGAGUGAUGGAGCUUCCACCGACGCUGGAUUAUUGCGUUUGACUACACGAGAAAUGUGGGAUGAGAAGGAGCAGUGAGCACGGGGAGUGCAGGGACACUGGGGCAGAGAGCACUACACGGAGACUUUUGGGAAGAAGACACUACACGGGAGUCUGGGAAACUGGGGAUUUAUUGUCAUUUACCUCACCACCUUGUAAAUAAACACUGUUGCACUGAA